GAUGAACGCUGGCGGCGUGCCUAAUACAUGCAAGUCGAGCGAACGGACGAGAAGCUUGCUUCUCUGAUGUUAGCGGCGGACGGGUGAGUAACACGUGGAUAACCUACCUAUAAGACUGGGAUAACUUCGGGAAACCGGAGCUAAUACCGGAUAAUAUUUUGAACCGCAUGGUUCAAAAGUGGAAGACGGUCUUGCUGUCACUUAUAGAUGGAUCCGCGCUGCAUUAGCUAGUUGGUAAGGUAACGGCUUACCAAGGCAACGAUGCAUAGCCGACCUGAGAGGGUGAUCGGCCACACUGGAACUGAGACACGGUCCAGACUCCUACGGGAGGCAGCAGUAGGGAAUCUUCCGCAAUGGGCGAAAGCCUGACGGAGCAACGCCGCGUGAGUGAUGAAGGUCUUCGGAUCGUAAAACUCUGUUAUUAGGGAAGAACAUAUGUGUAAGUAACUGUGCACAUCUUGACGGUACCUAAUCAGAAAGCCACGGCUAACUACGUGCCAGCAGCCGCGGUAAUACGUAGGUGGCAAGCGUUAUCCGGAAUUAUUGGGCGUAAAGCGCGCGUAGGCGGUUUUUUAAGUCUGAUGUGAAAGCCCACGGCUCAACCGUGGAGGGUCAUUGGAAACUGGAAAACUUGAGUGCAGAAGAGGAAAGUGGAAUUCCAUGUGUAGCGGUGAAAUGCGCAGAGAUAUGGAGGAACACCAGUGGCGAAGGCGACUUUCUGGUCUGUAACUGACGCUGAUGUGCGAAAGCGUGGGGAUCAAACAGGAUUAGAUACCCUGGUAGUCCACGCCGUAAACGAUGAGUGCUAAGUGUUAGGGGGUUUCCGCCCCUUAGUGCUGCAGCUAACGCAUUAAGCACUCCGCCUGGGGAGUACGACCGCAAGGUUGAAACUCAAAGGAAUUGACGGGGACCCGCACAAGCGGUGGAGCAUGUGGUUUAAUUCGAAGCAACGCGAAGAACCUUACCAAAUCUUGACAUCCUUUGACAACUCUAGAGAUAGAGCCUUCCCCUUCGGGGGACAAAGUGACAGGUGGUGCAUGGUUGUCGUCAGCUCGUGUCGUGAGAUGUUGGGUUAAGUCCCGCAACGAGCGCAACCCUUAAGCUUAGUUGCCAUCAUUAAGUUGGGCACUCUAAGUUGACUGCCGGUGACAAACCGGAGGAAGGUGGGGAUGACGUCAAAUCAUCAUGCCCCUUAUGAUUUGGGCUACACACGUGCUACAAUGGACAAUACAAAGGGCAGCGAAACCGCGAGGUCAAGCAAAUCCCAUAAAGUUGUUCUCAGUUCGGAUUGUAGUCUGCAACUCGACUACAUGAAGCUGGAAUCGCUAGUAAUCGUAGAUCAGCAUGCUACGGUGAAUACGUUCCCGGGUCU
Molecule: ribosomal RNA, 1372 nt
Filed under: uncultured bacterium
Lineage: Bacteria
Description: bacterial SSU rRNA
Rfam family: Bacterial small subunit ribosomal RNA
Source: RNAcentral